This 3682-nucleotide long non-coding RNA is filed under the name Sus scrofa (pig). RNAcentral's name for it is "lncRNA (ENSSSCG00005025222.1)". The record is from RNAcentral. Lineage: Eukaryota; Metazoa; Chordata; Mammalia; Artiodactyla; Suidae.
GAGCUAAGACUGCGCCGCAAUGCUGAGCAGGUUCCUGGGUCCGCGCUACCGCGAGCUGGCCAGAAACUGGAUUCCCACGGCCAGCAUGUGGGGUGCUGUGGGUGCCGUGGGGCUGGUAUGGGCCACUGACUGGCGGCUGAUUCUGGAUUGGGUGCCCUACAUCAAUGGCAAGUUUAAGAAGGAAGAUUAAACUGAGCCCCCUCAGACCCCUCUGGCAUCUGGUGGUGCUGCCUCCUUCAUCUGCAUCUGGAAUAGCCCAGGCUCUCAGGAUGGACUUCGGGGAAGUACACAACAAAUAGACUUUCUAUGUUGUGGAAAUCGCUUUGGUGUGUGAAUGCACAGCAUUAAACUUGUUCUGAAACCUGCCCACCUGGAUGUGCUUAUGCUGGGGCCUGGUUGUCUUGACUGCAGGCCCAGGGCCCUGAGAGAUCCUGGGAUCCUUUUAGCUCCCAAACUGUGCAAAUGUAGGCAUUUCCCAGUGGCUGGAAGACAUGGCUUGCUGGUUUAAAAUGUUUAGUGGAUAAUCCCUGCAGAGUGAUUUUUAUUUGUUGCUGCCCUAAAACAAACAUUUAUCAUCUCCCAGGAAGGAUUUGGGAGUGAUGGGGGUGGGGGGGAAUCUGGUUGAGGGACCUUUGCAAGGUUGCAGUCGAGGCCUUGGCCUCAUCUGAAGGCCUGACAGGAGCUGGAAUUGCAUCACCAGGAUACAAACAUGAACAGGUACAUGAGGCUAUGGGGUAUACAAGCAGUUCCUGCCAACUCUUGCCAAGUUCUUGAAGAUUCUAGAAACAUUCUCUGUGAAAACAGCUCUUUUUGUCAGUCUGCUCCGAGCACUGCCACAACAAAACACAGGCUGGGCGCUUUAACAACAGCAUGGGUAUCUCACAGUUAUGGAGGCUGAAGGUCCCAGGUCAGGAUCUGGCAGCACCUGUCUCUGGUGAGGCUCUGCUUCCUGGCCCUUGGAUGGCUGCCUUCUCACUGUCCUCACAUGGCCUUUCCUUGACAUGACAAGUGAGCUUUCAGUGACUUAGGGUGCACUAAUUCUACAGGAUUGGGGCCACACCCUUCCAACCUCAUUUGACCUUAAUUAUGUCCUCCAGGGCUCCAUCUCCAGAUGCAGCCAUACUGGAGGUUAGGGAUUCAACAUACGCAUUUUAGGGAGACGCAUACAUCUGGUCCAUAACACCUUUAUAUAUUUAAACACAAGUAGUGGCAUUUGCUACACACUUUGCUGCACAAACUUUUUUUAUCCAAAGCUUAUUUCCUGGAAGCUAUGCCACUUAAAAAAGCACACAAGGAGUUCCCACUGUGGCUCAGCAGAAACAAAUCUGACAACAUCCAUGAGGACGCAGGUUCAAUCCCUGGCCUCACUCAGUUGGUUAAGGAUCCAGCAUUGCCGUGAACUGUGUUGUUAAGUUGCAGACAUGGCUUGGACCCACGAAUUGUGGCUGUGCUGUAGGCCAGUGGCUACAGCUCCCAUUUGACCCCUAGCCUGGGAACCUCCAUAUGCCACAGGUAUGGCCCUAAAAAGACACACACACAAGAAAGCACAUGCAUCAUCAAAAAUUCUACAAAGGAGUUCCCUGGUGGCUCAACAGGUUAACAAUCUGACACAGUGUCCAUGAUAAAGGCCAUCCAGCCUUGCUGUGAGCUGUGGUGUAGGUAGAAGGCACAGCUUGCAUCCCAUGGGGCUGUGGCUAUGGCGUGGGCUGGCGGCUGCAGCUCCCAUUCACCCAGCCUGAGAACUUCCAUGUGCUGAGGGUGUAGCCCUAAAAAAAAAAGUCUACAAAUAAAUUCUGGAGAGGGUGCAGAGAAAAGGGGAACCCUCCUACACUGUUGGUGGGAAUGUAAUUUGGCCCAGCCACUAUAAAAAACAGUAUGGAGAUACCUUAAAAAACUGAAAAUAGGAGUUCGCUUCAUGGCACAGUGGUUAACGAAUCCGACUAGGACCAUGAGGUUGCAAGUUUGAUCCCUACCCUCACUCAGUGGGUUAAGGAUCUGGCACUGCCGUGAUCCCUAGCUCUUAUUGACCCCUAGCCUGGGAAUUUGCAUAAACCAUGCAUGCAGCCCUAAAAGGCAAAAACAAACAAACAAACAAACAAAAAAAAACAGCAUCCUUAGUUUUUAAGUUUUUAAGCAGCUGCCUAGUACCAACGUUAUUAACAAGUCUAUUAGCAAGAGACAUUAAUUUCCUGUCAUUUGCCAUUUUAACAGUAUCCAUGGAGUGAUGUUAUUUCAGACAAAUGAACAGAUGCCACUUAAAAACCUGUAAGUUUGUGAGAAAAGGUACUCUUGAUUUUUUUUUUUUUUUUUUUAACAAUUUCUAGGAAGGUCAGGAGUUCCCGUCGUGGCUAAGUGGUUAAUGAAUCCGACUAGGAACCAUGAGGUUUCGGGUUCGAUCCCUGGCCUUGCUCAGUGGGUUGAGGAUCCGGCAUUGCCGUGAGCUGUGGUGUAGGUUGCAGACGUGGCUCAGGUCCUGCAUUGCUGUGGCUCUGGUGUAGGCUGGCAGCUACAGCUCUGAUUAGACCCCUAGCCUGGGAACAUCCAUAUGCUGUGGGAGCGGCCCUAGAAAAGGCAGAAAGAAAAAAAAAAAAAAAAAAAAAAAAAAAAAAAAAUUUCUAGGAAGUGCCCAGGUGGCAGAGUGGCUUAAGCAUCCAGCAUUGCUGCAGCUGCAGCUGCAGCUCAAGUUCAAUCCCUGAUCCCUGGCCCAAGAAUUUCCACACACAGCCAUUAUGGCCUAAAAACAAACAAAACCCCGCUCCUGCACUGGCCCACGCCUGAGGUAUAUAGGUCCCAGCCACAGAUGCAGCCUGACCCUUAACCCACUGCCCCACAGUGGGAACUCUGAAAGAAACAAUUUCUUCACACAGGUGAAGACAUUCCCACAGUCCCCCAUCAAAGCCCUGGACAAAAGGAAACGUGAGGAGUUCCCAUCAUGGCGCAGCAGAAACAAAUCCAACUAGGAACCAUGAGGUUGCAGGUUCAAUCCCUGGCCUCACUCAGUGGUUUAAGGAUCCAGUGUUCCCAUGAGCUGUGGUGUAGUUUGCAGACAUGACUCGGAUCCAGCUUUGCUGUGGCUGUGGCCAGCAGAUGUAGCUCCGAUUUGACCCCUAGCCUGGGAACCUCCAUAUACCUCAGGUGCGGCCCCCCCAAAAAAAAGAAAGUGUGAGCCCCUAACACAGGAGUUUUUAAUGUAUUUCUAUAAUGGCUAAUGGGUUUGGGGUUUUUUGAUAACAGUUAAUGGUUUUUUGUUUUUGUUACUUGCCACACCCAUGGUAUGUGCAAAUUUCAAAUUCUGAGCCAGGGAUGCAACCUGCACCACAGCAGUGAUGUCAGAUCCUUAACCUACUGAGCAGCAAGGGAACUCCAUUUGGCUUUAAUGAAAACAUAUAUGAGUUUGUUUCUGUGAACACCAGGAAAAGCAAAACUGGGGAGUUCCCGUCGUGGUGCAGUGGUUAAGGAAUCCGACCAGGAACCAUGAGGUCUUGGGUUCGAUCCCUGCCCUUGCUCAGUGGGUUAACGAUCAGGCGUUGCCGUGAGCUGUGGUGUAGGCUGCAGACGCGGCUCGGAUCCCGUGUUGCUGUGGCUCUGGUGUAGGCCAGUGGCUACAGCUCCGAUUCGACCCCUAGCCUGGGAACCUCCAUAUGCCGAAGGAGCGGCCCAAAGAAAUAGCAAAAAAAAAAAA